UGUUGUCAGUCUCAGUUUCAGAACAGUCUGAACUCCUACCACUGAUAUGACUAUAUGGACAUGAGUUGCUGGCUUGUUGUGGUCCUCUAUAAUCCUCUCCAUCAGC
This is a long non-coding RNA of Thalassophryne amazonica, 106 nucleotides long. RefSeq lists it as uncharacterized. Lineage: Eukaryota; Metazoa; Chordata; Actinopteri; Batrachoidiformes; Batrachoididae. The record is from RefSeq and is a predicted model, not a curated record. The transcript has 3 exons.